CGCGCUUACAAGCAAUGAGUGAAGGGCUACCUUAGCUCUGCUUAAUGUUUGACUGUGGUUUCUGUAUCUGCUCCCAUCAGUUGCUGGAUGAAGCCUCUCUGGUGACAUUUGGGCUAGGAAUCAAGAACUUUACAGUAAGACUCUAUUGCUGAAGACAUCUCACACUUGAGUCAUAGAAUAUGGAGAACUCAAGACUGUACUCACCUGGAAGCUUCAUCUCUAUGACAGCUUUCUGAGUGAUGGAAGACACUGUUAAUGCUACCAGAGGAAAAAAGUAAUUGUCAAUCUUACCCAGCUAUGUAUGUACCCUGCAAUCUAUAACAAGA
This 326-nucleotide long non-coding RNA is filed under the name Cricetulus griseus (Chinese hamster). Its description in RNAcentral is "lncRNA (ENSCGRG00015037149.1)". Lineage: Eukaryota; Metazoa; Chordata; Mammalia; Rodentia; Cricetidae. The record is from RNAcentral.